GCCGGAGGAGGCAAUCGUUAUCCGGAAUUAUUGGGCGUAAAGGGUACGUAGGCGGCUGGUCAAGUCUGGGGUCAAAGGCCACAGCUCAACUGUGGGAAGGCCCUGGAAACUGACCGGCUAGAGUGAGGUAGGGGUUGCGGGAAUUCCCGGUGUAGCGGUGAGAUGCGUAGAGAUCGGGAAGAACACCUGAGGCGGAAGCGCGCAACUGGGCCUCAACUGACGCUGAGGUACGAAAGCUAGGGGAGCGAAUGGG
RNAcentral lists this ribosomal RNA (253 nucleotides) under uncultured bacterium. Its description in RNAcentral is "partial 16S ribosomal RNA". It matches the Rfam family "Bacterial small subunit ribosomal RNA", at positions 524 to 776 of the family's 1533-position model. The record is from RNAcentral.